RNAcentral lists this ribosomal RNA (416 nucleotides) under uncultured Desulfobulbus sp. RNAcentral describes it as "bacterial SSU rRNA". It matches the Rfam family "Bacterial small subunit ribosomal RNA", at positions 971 to 1382 of the family's 1533-position model. The record is from RNAcentral. Lineage: Bacteria; Pseudomonadati; Thermodesulfobacteriota; Desulfobulbia; Desulfobulbales; Desulfobulbaceae.
UUACCUGGUCUUGACAUCCCGGAGACCCUUAGGAAACUAGGGGUGCUUCCAUCUGGAAGAAUCUGGAGACAGGUGCUGCAUGGCUGUCGUCAGCUCGUGUCGUGAGAUGUUGGGUUAAGUCCCGCAACGAGCGCAACCCUUGCCUUUAGUUGCCAGCAGUUCGGCUGGGCACUCUAAAGGGACUGCCGGUGUUAAACCGGAGGAAGGUGGGGAUGACGUCAAGUCCUCAUGGCCUUUAUGACCAGGGCUACACACGUACUACAAUGGCCGAUACAAAGGGCAGCGACACUGCGAGGUGAAGCCAAUCCCGUAAAAUCGGUCUCAGUCCGGAUUGGAGUCUGCAACUCGACUCCAUGAAGUUGGAAUCGCUAGUAAUCGUGGAUCAGCAUGCCACGGUGAAUACGUUCCCGGGCCUU